ACGCAAGGGUGUGCGGAGCAGUUCGUCCCUCCAGCUGAUUACAGGAACGUUACUGCAGUAAAUGCGCUAUGGUAAGAAUCAUAUCGAAGUCAUGAAUCACACCGUAUUGUAGUUAUUGCUAUUUUAAAUUAAAUGCACUGCGUUGAGAUUGUCAAAGUGUAGUGUGCGUUUUCGGCAAAGCCAGCAAGCAAGCUGCGUUGGGGCUCACAUUCAGCUGUCACCCCACUGGAAGCCAUCAGCCCCUACAGCUGGAGAGAGGAAACCGGAUAGCGCACUGGGUGAUGAUGUCAGUCAGUGGCAUGCUUUGAUGUCAACAAGUUUAUCAACAUGACAAAAUGAAACCGCUAAGUAGCGCUAGCUUCGGUAGCUAAUCACAUAGACAUAUAAAGAGUAGACGCCGCAACGGCUGCCGGGCAGGGAGAAAUGCGGCGGCCAUCUUGGGGCGGUCAUUCUACUCCGAGUUGAAUGAAUGUAGGCUACUAAGAAGAACGAAGAAAGAAAAGAGAAUAAUAAAUAAGUUUGAGUUGAGAAGCAGGGAGAAAAGAUGCCGCAGCAUUGCGCAGCUUAUUCCUAAUCGCCGGACUUUAUUGAACAGGAGUCGGGGGAUUACUUUUCACAAGGUGGCUGUGGGUAACUCUGAAGUCACCACUUUGAUAUGAGCGCCCUCCUUGGGCCACGACAGUUCAGUUCAUCCUUCAGUCUGUGAGGAGGAACCCAACAGAGACAUGGAAAAAUGAUGCAUCCGACUGCUGGUGGAAAUAAAAACAUAGAGUAUUUUGUAAGAUUUUUCACCGCAUUGAGAUAUUGAAACAAAUAGCUCGAGCUGUGAAGAGUAAGGAGACGGGACAGAUCAGCUGAGGAUAAAAUGCGCGUUGAUGUCGGAACAAGUUGUUAUCGUUGUCUAAGUGUCUUAUCGGUUGUUAUUAUUGUUUAAAAAAAAAUCUGAGUAAGUCGGUGAUAAAGUGGUAUUGUGGAAAUCUGCAGAAGGCGCUAAUAAAUUGUUAUUGUGGUUUGAGACUAUAAUAAGAGGUUGUAGCGGCCGUGAAGAGGGUCGAAAGAACUACAAGUCUAAUCUGUAGUAGUAGUUGUUGUUGUUGUAAGUCCUUAAAGAGAUCUGAUUCAUCACACUGAGUCAAACAUACUAAAGAGAAUUAGCCCACAAAGGAGUUCUAGAUUAUCCUUGUGAGUAAGAAAUUGAAAGGAAGUGACUUAUGCAAACCUGAUAAAGGGUAAUAUAAUGAAAAUAAUAGCAUAUAAUAGGAAGAAAAUAUAAUAUGACCCAAUAUGAGAUACUGUAAUAAUGAUAUGAUACAGUACAGUAUUACAUGAGGCCCCACUACAAUAAAAUGGGGGUAUGAGUAAAAAUAUAUAUAUGAAAUAAGUAUAAAGAAUAAACUUUGUGGUGACAUUCAGUGACUAGUAUACAGCCUGUAUACUACAGGGGUGCGUUGCUCGAAACGAAUGUGUCAUACAAACCACCUGGCUGAGUAAGUUACCCAAAGUUAGUGUGUGCUUUGAUGAGAUCCAUCCAUACACUGUAUGGGAAGAGCAGAGUGAUUGUGAAAUUUGUUUGAAUGAUAACUCCAUUGAAAGUUUAAGCACAUCUGUCCCAGUGAGUGGGUUGAAAACAUGAGGAACAAAACCGGAAAUUUAUAAGCUCUAUCUGACCCUCUUACAGGCUCUGCUGAAAUAAUGGCAGACAAAUGGGGAAAUAAUGUGGUUAAAAAUGUUCAACUUUGGCACUAUGUCACCCAUGGGGUGCUUCCAGUAAAAGGCACUUUAAGCACAGAAUGAAUGAUGAAUGAUAGUGUGUUAAAAGAAAAGAUAACAGGAAAGCAGGAAAGAAAAAAAAAAGAUAGACUGACAAGUUUUUAAAAUCAGUCGUGGGACUGAAACGGUAAUGGGAAAAUAGAGUUUGAGUAACAUAAAGAAGAAACAAUGUAGGGCCAGAAUUAGGAAUGGACCUCCUCCAUGCUGUCUCCACACCUACAACCUUCCUUUAAACAACACCUUCUCCACACGAGGUCAGGCAUCCCAGGAUGACUUUCUUAAGGAGGGAGGAGGAUAUCCAGUACACCCUGACUUUUUAGCCCUCUUUCUGUCUUCUAAAAUGAGUCACAAAUUAACCUUGCUUCUCCAAAAAAGCCUUUUUCUCCACCAGCCAGCUUCUACUGACUACUGGCUGCGGAGUCGAGAUCACUGAGGGGAUGAUGUUCCCUGACCCCGUGCCUAGGCAAACAAGGAAGCAGACUGUCAUUGAGAUCCAGAAGUGUUUUGUACACAGGCCAUGUCAGCCAAACAAAUUGAAGGAGGCUACAGAGGUAUCACCUGACACAAAGACUGGAGUCGGGUGGGCCACAGAGUCCUGGACAAAGAUGGCAGGCACUGCACAACAGCCAGAGGAAAAGGAGACUGGGCCCAUAUCAAAUUAUCAAGGAAAGUGCAACAGCACUGACCAGAUAAGCUAUGCUGCAGAAGUAAGGUUAUGGGAACCCCAAGCUUAAUCAUCAAGAAGGGAGAGAUCCAGAGGAAUCCUGACCACAUGCACCAGCUAAAGUUGUCUGUUCAUUUCCCAGGAUUCACCUUGACACAGCCAAAGGAGACAGCAGAGGUCAGAGGUCUGAACAUUGAGCAGCACAUAGACAAGACACACACACACACACACACACACACACACACACACACAAAGAGAGAAACACUGAUUGACUGUUAAAGACAAAGCUCUGAAGUGAAUACCUAUAUGCAAGUGACAUAUACAAUUAUUUGAUGAUUACAUAUAAGCUGCUAUUUCAAAUAUUAUAACCAGUUGUGUUGCAAAUACGGUUUAAGCCAGUUUAUAUUCAAGUAAACGCUAUGAUCUGUUCUUUGGAAGUACAGGGUGUGAGCUGAAGAAGGCUGUUGUUAAUCAAGUAGUAUUUGACCAACCUACUCUAUUGCCCAAAUGGUGUGUUCAUAAAAAAGAAAUUCAAAGCUGAUAUUAGAACUGAAAUAUUAGAACUGAUAAUAAAUAAAUAAACUGAUAAUGAUCUUGAAAAUACUGAGAUCCUUUAAAAAAGCAUUUAUAUAAAGUGUCUGUGUUGAUUGCAUCAUGAUUUUCACACCAAAGUUCACAUACCUGUUACAGAAGAAGUAAAAUCAUCAUUUGAACUACAGAAACAUCAAGCAUCUAAUAAAAACAUACAUAUAACGUGUCCACAGUCACAAGGUUCAGUAGAACAUGCCAAUGGUGCAUCAAAAACUAAAAUAGCCAAAAUCAUGGCUGAUGGUAAUGGUAAACUCACCUGGGAAGAUGCUUUGCCAUUAGCACUAAUGUCUAUGCACUCACAAACUAACAGACUAACCCAUCUAACCCUGCAUGAAAUGCUCAAUGGAUGCCCAAUGCCACUGCCACAGUGCAGGGGCCCUAUAGAGGGACCGCUUCAGCAGCUGGAGCGAAAUUUGGGGGACUAUUUACGGGGUUUAACUCAAAUCUACAGAUGUGUCCUCCAACAGGUGAAAGACUGAUAGUAGUGUCAGAGAGGCUGCAGAGGAUGAUGCCACCAGCACAACCACGGGCAGUGACACCCUGGAAAGUGCACGUGCAGGACCGUCCGGCCUGCAAGAUAUACACCACCCGUCCACGCCUGAAUUCUGGCCAGAGUCAGAGCGUUCUCUUACUCAGAUUAAUUUGUUUGUUUUCUUUCUCUUUGUGCUAACCCUUUCAGGUUUCGCAAGGGGGAGAUAGAAAGAGAAGUCCUAAUGACAUGUGCCACUAUUGACACACCACAUGUUAAUUGUGCACUUACCAUGGUCACCUUAGCCACAAUUACAAGGGCAUAGUGAAAAUGGGAGAACUACUACAUCUUCUGUAUGUAAAAGCUGAUACGUAUGGUUGUCCACUAACCACCGAUGGCACAAUAGCUAACGCUCCAGGUAAACAUUGGGUGGGACUACCCCGCACCACUGACUGCCAAGAGAAUGGAUGGUGAAAUUACAGGUAAUACGCACAAACAUGUCAUGUUAGGACACAGAAACAAUUAAAAAAUGAAACUGUUAGAAGCCAGUCGAUGGAUUUGGCUAAUGAGUAACUGAGAAAAAAGAGAUUUGGCCAAACUAAGAAGCACAGAAAAAGACCAACAAGAGUAUUGUACAUUACAAACGUCAAAAGAAUACCACUGCUCAUGCCACUGCCUCCUGGCAGUGGCAUGAGCAGAGGUCAGUCACAGAGGUGACUGUCCAGACAUAACUGAAUGUCUUGCUUUUUGUGCAGUGCACAUGGCAGUGAAAUUGGAUGGGUGGAGUUCCAACUCUCAAACAUGCCAAUGAAAACUUAAAAAGAAUGACAGCUAUGUAAAUUUGAUAAACUAAUCUUCCUUUUCUGUGUAGCACGAGGAGGAGUUGGAGUAUGUAACCUGAAGAAACACAACCAACCUGACGUGAGGCUAAUGAAGCGCAGCAAUGAGACCUGGUAUCCGGCCACCAAUGGGGGCAAUGCUACCACCAUAAAAAUGUGAAUCCAGUCCUUUAACAAUUAGCCCAACCACAACUACAGGAUGAGCUCUCCGUGGAUAAUCAGCUAGGAAGUCAUCAACAUCAUGGAUGGAGGUCAAAAUGUAAUUUAGACAAAUGUGCCAGCAAGGCUGUGAGCCUGGCUAAAGUUGCUGUCCACUCCUGCAGAGGAACAAUCCAAAUGGAUACAACAGAGCAGAGGUAUCUGUCAGUACCUGCACCCUCCAGGAAGAAGGGUGAGCUAGCAACACAGAGACUACUGUACAAGGAGAGAGACAGGCUGACAGGUUUAUAAAUUAUGUUCCAACAAUUGUACGACGAUCCUUUGUAUUCAACUUAGUUAUGUAGGGUCAAAUGUUGUAAAUGUGUUGAUGAAGAAAAGCGGGCACUCAUUUGUGAAGGUCACAUCAGAAAGCUGAGUGCCAUAAAAAGCACAAGAAAUGUAUUAAACCAGUGUGGUUUACAGGAAACCAGUAAAUUCAUAGGGACUCUGGUGUAAUGUUGGCCUUAGGGCCGCCACAAUAACCAAGGCAACACCACGGGUAAUAUGUCACCAAGGCUAACAAAUAACCCAAGCAUGUCAUUUAAGUCCAGGUGCUAAGAUUGAAUAGAGAUCUUACCUGUCUUUAUGUAACAUAUUUUACACAUUUAUGUAAAAAUACCAGAAGAAAUUUUUUUUACAAAAACAAAGGGUGGUAUGAGUGUUUUAUGUCAAUGAUCUCAUAAUUACUGAUUUAAUGUUUGCUGAACUGACCAAAGAAUGAUUAUCUUUACAAAGUGUGUCUAGAUAAUAUUCUAAUUCUAAAAGGUUUAAGAAUUUGUCUAUGUAAUCUUAUGCUUUUCUGAAAAAAAAAAAAAAAAA
This is a long non-coding RNA of Acanthopagrus latus (yellowfin seabream), 5350 nucleotides long. RefSeq lists it as uncharacterized. The record is from RefSeq and is a predicted model, not a curated record. Lineage: Eukaryota; Metazoa; Chordata; Actinopteri; Spariformes; Sparidae. The transcript has 2 exons.